CCAGGCUGAAGACUUUUGCCGGAUUAGCUGAGAGGUGGUGCAUUGGCCGUCGUCAGUUCGUACUGUGAAGCAUCCUGUUAAGUCAGGCAACGAGCGAGACCCACGCCCACAGUUGCCAGCGUACUCUCUGGAGUGACGGGUACACUGUGGGACCGCCGCUGCUAAAGCGGAGGAAGGAAUGGGCAACGGUAGGUCAGUAUGCCCCGAAUAUCCCGGGCUACACGCGAGCUACAAUGGUUGGUACAAUGGGUAUCUACCCCGAAAGGGGACGGGAAUCUCCUAAAACCAAUCUUAGUUCGGAUUGAGGGCUGCAACUCGCCCUCAUGAAGCUGGAAUCCGUAGUAAUCGCGUUUCAACAGAACGCGGUGAAUACGUCCCUGCUCCUU
This 386-nucleotide ribosomal RNA is filed under the name uncultured Methanosaeta sp. RNAcentral describes it as "bacterial SSU rRNA". It matches the Rfam family "Archaeal small subunit ribosomal RNA", at positions 954 to 1338 of the family's 1478-position model. The record is from RNAcentral. Lineage: Archaea; Methanobacteriati; Methanobacteriota; Methanomicrobia; Methanotrichales; Methanotrichaceae.